ACAUGGAAGCUAUAUAUGGUAUGAAGCAAAUGUUCUAUUUGAAACUAAUGCUAUAUCUUGUUCAUUUAGUUUCCUUGUUGCAUUAAGAGAAGGCGACAACUCCUUUUGUUUAACAUCUGCAUACUUUCCCAAAAAUAAACUUCCAAGAUGGUACUCGAAAGUUUAUGCCACUAAUAAAAAUAACCUGGAAAGAUAACAAAUAAGCUCCAAAAGAUUUAAAAAGUGAGAAAACUAACCGGAUAUUAGUUAUAUUUUUUCAUAAAAUACUUUAGAUAUUAGAUUUCGAUGCGAUUUUUUGUAAGUAUUAUUAGAAAAAAGAGACUUUGUCAUAGUUAAAAUUUGGUGAUUUGUCAAGGAAUUUUUUCAAUAUUUUUUGUGAAUGAUUGAAUUUAAAAUAAAAUGCACAAGUUGUUUGCUAAAUACAAAAUUCCUUUAUCAUUUAUGUAAAAAAAAUGAUAUUUUUGUUAAUUUUGUCACGUUUUUAAAUCUUUUGAGACUUCUUGUCAUUCAUAGAAAUCUUAUUUGGUUAUUUUUCAUAGCGAUAUGAGUUUUUUGGUGCAAUUUCAGUAGUUUACCUUGUUCCUAAUAGCAUGUGAGCUAUUUUUAGCUCAAUUUGUUAGUUACUUUAUAAGCUAAGCUCUUGAGCCGGUGAGCUACUGAGCUUGAGCUAAAAAUUUGAGCUCAUUUAUUAAAUGAGUCAAACUUAACUUUGCUAUGAUCCAUGAGCAAGGUUGUAUAUUCAUUUAUCGGUUCACAUAGAUAUGUAGAUGCCUGAGACCUUGGCAUAAUAUCACCUAUAUCAUUAUAUAUUAUCAAUAAUAAUAUAUAAUAUCUCAAUUAUUUGCAUAAUGUGUCUUGUAGAUUAAAUAUGUUGAAAAUAAGUAUGUACUUAUAGCCAAAAGCUUAAUUAAUAUCUAAGGGUUAAUGUUUAAAAUGGUCUUUGAAAUUUUACUCGUGCAUCAAGAUUCCAUAAUAAGAUUAAGCUCAAUAAUAAAUCAGUCAAACCAUGAGUUGAGCUAAAUAUUAUCAAGCUGAGUUUGAGCAUUGUCAAUUUUGGGGUUGACUUUGCGUAAUUUCAACCCUUGAUUUUGUUUUUGUUCUUUCACACUGAAUGAAAAUCUUGGAAUCUUCCAGAAUACUCUAGUUAUGAUGUCUAUUAUUAUCUGUAGAGUCAGAAGAAGGUUAAAUGCCUGCUAAAGCUAUUAUGCGCACUAACAGUACCAUCCUCUUCAUCUCCUUAGAGGAUGGCCAUGUAAAUUUGGUGGCGCCUAGUUCAUCAUUUUUCAUUUAAUGUUCUACAGUUUUAGAUGAAUGCCAUUGACUAAUUAGAUCGAAGAAAUGCAAGUAUUGGUUUUCAGUUGCUAGACCAUUCUACAAAGUUGCUUAUACCAUAUAGUUUCAAAUUCAGUGUUGGUUUAUACUUGGGGAAGCAUAAUUGUUAGAUUAUUACAUAGUUACAUUGAGGUUCAGUUAUUUAGUCAGUAAUGAGAAUUAUUCUCCUAAAUAUGUAUGUUAGGAUUGGUUUCAUUCUGUUAAGAGUAGUACAAACUACUUAAAAUGAGUAUGUAAGUGAUAGCUAUGAUUGAUUGUAUCGGUCAACCUCAUUUUAAAUUUAUGCUUAGAUUUUUCUCCCAGCCUA
RNAcentral lists this long non-coding RNA (1639 nucleotides) under Arachis ipaensis. Its description in RNAcentral is "long non-coding RNA (AIPA_LNC000263)". Lineage: Eukaryota; Viridiplantae; Streptophyta; Magnoliopsida; Fabales; Fabaceae. The record is from RNAcentral.